Molecule: non-coding RNA, 148 nt
Filed under: Gorilla gorilla gorilla (western lowland gorilla)
Lineage: Eukaryota; Metazoa; Chordata; Mammalia; Primates; Hominidae
Source: Rfam by way of RNAcentral
GCCAGGUAUGGUGGCGCACACCUGUAGUCCCAGCUAUCUGGGAGGCUGAGGCAGGAGAAUUGCUUGAACCCAGGAGGCAGAGGUUGCAGUGAGCUGAGAUGGCACCACUGCACUCUGGCCUGGGUGACAGAGCGAGACUCUGUCUCAA